GACGAACGCUGGCGGCGUGCCUAAUACAUGCAAGUAGAACGCUGAAGGAGGAGCUUGCUUCUCUGGAUGAGUUGCGAACGGGUGAGUAACGCGUAGGUAACCUGCCUGGUAGCGGGGGAUAACUAUUGGAAACGAUAGCUAAUACCGCAUAAGAGUAGAUGUUGCAUGACAUUUGCUUAAAAGGUGCAAUUGCCUCACUACCAGAUGGACCUGCGUUGUAUUAGCUAGUUGGUGGGGUAACGGCUCACCAAGGCGACGAUACAUAGCCGACCUGAGAGGGGGAUCGGCCACACUGGGACUGAGACACGGCCCAGACUCCUACGGGAGGCAGCAGUAGGGAAUCUUCGGCAAUGGACGGAAGUCUGACCGAGCAACGCCGCGGGAGUGAAGAAGGGUGUCGGAUCGUAAAGCUCUGUUGUAAGAGAAGAACGAGUGUGAGAGUGGAAAGUUCACACUGUGACGGUAUCUUACCAGAAAGGGACGGCUAACUACGUG
This 495-nucleotide ribosomal RNA is filed under the name uncultured bacterium. Its description in RNAcentral is "partial 16S ribosomal RNA". It matches the Rfam family "Bacterial small subunit ribosomal RNA", at positions 28 to 507 of the family's 1533-position model. The record is from RNAcentral.